UAUGCUUUUCCCCAGGCUCUGACAUUCAGGGUUUGGAACUGCUGGGUAGAUUGCAAAUCAGCUUGUCUCGGCCUGAACUGCUGCUGUGCACUUUGAAAGAAUGGAUUCUGGUUACUUGUGUGACUUCAAAGUCAAGCGUUGGGGAAGAGGAUUUCUUCUGAUUGCCAGUAACAAAGCAGCAGUAUAUCUCAACUUCAGCCGCAUUCAGACAUGAGGAUCUCCACUCCCAGAAUUCUCAAGGGACGUCCUUUGCAUGUUUCUAUGUAAUAUGUCUCUGCUUACUUUCGUCACUUACAGAUCAUUUAUAAAGAAGGCGAAGAGCACUGGGGCCAAGACAGAACCACUGCAUGCUUCUCUCCAUG
Molecule: non-coding RNA, 362 nt
Organism: Pseudonaja textilis
Lineage: Eukaryota; Metazoa; Chordata; Lepidosauria; Squamata; Elapidae
Source: RefSeq, a predicted model, not a curated record